UUUGUAUGUCUGGUAGAAUUCGGCUGUGAAACCAUCUGGACCUGAACUUUUUUUGGUUGGUAGGCUAUUAAUUGCUGCCUCAACUUCAGCCCUUGUUAUUGGUCUAUUCAGGGUUUCAACUUCUUUGUGGUUUAGUCUUGGGGGAGGAUGUGUCUAGGAAUUUAUCC
This is a long non-coding RNA of Sapajus apella (tufted capuchin), 167 nucleotides long. RefSeq lists it as uncharacterized. NCBI's taxonomy places the organism in Eukaryota, Metazoa, Chordata, Mammalia, Primates, Cebidae. The transcript has 3 exons. The record is from RefSeq and is a predicted model, not a curated record.